Molecule: long non-coding RNA, 1261 nt
Filed under: Marmota monax (woodchuck)
Lineage: Eukaryota; Metazoa; Chordata; Mammalia; Rodentia; Sciuridae
Source: RNAcentral
UGUAACUGGAAUAAAAGACUCACCAUGACUUAGCAAGAAAUGAGGCUGGAUGGAGUCAGGUUCAACAUAAGCACUUUAUAAAAUACUUAUAUUUAAUUUCUGAUUUAAUUAAACAUUUCUUGGUCAUUAUUGUGAACAAGGCACUAAGUACACCAUGGAAAAUGUAAGAUGCAUUGCCAGCACUUUGCAGACGUGACAUUAUUCAGCCUCAAGUUUCCAGUGGCCAAAGGGAAAUGUUGACUGCAUUUCAUAAACUUGAAUUAGAGGUUUCUUAAUAUGGUUGAUGAAAACUAAUAUAAAGGCAAUGUGAUUUUCAUGGAAGCAUGCCAUGUUGUCAAGAGCCUCUUAGAUUUUUCUCGACUGUGAGAAAACUAGAAGUUUUAAAGAUGUGGAGUCUGGAAAGGAGAUCCUAGUCACUGUACAGUCAGGCACUAGCAGGAAUGGGGAGGGGCCAUUCGCAUCCCACAGAAAUACAAUCCACACCAAAACUGGCCAUGCGCUCGUCACAGAAUAUAAAUGAGUUAGCAGUUAAAACAUUUCAGAGAAAAUUUCCUUUCCCAUAAAUGCAUGAAGAUAAUAUCAGAGUCUUCUCACACUAUAUUUUUAGGAUAUUGGGAAAUUACAGGAUAUGAAGAAUUUAGAAGGUGGAGGAAUUAUAGCUUCAAAAUUUUCAAUUAAUAUAAAAAAAUCAGGAAGCUCUUCAUUCAGGCUAUGCACCAUGUGCACAGUCAAGAAUUGGCAGAAACCCUCUGCAUUUGCAAACACUUUGUGCUAUAAAAAUAAUUUUUAAAAAGCCACCUGUAUAAAUAUAUAUAUAUAUAUAUAUUUAAAGACACAGUUUUGAUACUUUUUUACAAAAAUUACAAAAAAACAAAUACCUGUACAAACCAUGUGCUUUUAAAAUAGCAUUUUGUUCUAUACUAAUUGUCAAUUUGAGGUAAAGUACUGGUUUGCAAACUCCAUCAUCUUGUAUCUGAGUGGAUUUUCCUUGUUUGUCUCCUUCCAAUCCCCAAAUUACUGUAUUUGAUGUAACAGUCGGGCAUGUUAGAAUGUUUGGUCACACCAACUGUUUCUGCUCUUUUUGUCUUACCAUUUCGAGUUCUGUUAGCUUCUGUACUCCAUGCCCUCUACAAUCUGGUUUCUCUUCCAGAGACAGAGGGAGUGAAGGUGUGUGCUGCAUCUCCCUAGCUGUACUGACAUCAUCUUGGUGAACUGAAAACCAAAUGUAGACAUUUGUAAAAUCAAUACAAUGUUUCUAGAG